UGGGAGUAUUGAGUCGGAGAUUAAUGUUUCAAAAAGACUGGCACAUCCUAUGUACACACUCAACGGAGAGGGUGGCUGAUCUCACUAGCCACUUGUGUGGGGAUACUAAUAUAAGGAUAUGAAUGCUCAUUAGAAAAUGAGUUCACUGAAUGGACUCACCGAUAGAGAACAUCUUAUGAAAGCCUUACUUGCAUGUCAAAGAUGGUUUUCUAAGUGAGAGUUGUACACGUGAUCG
Molecule: long non-coding RNA, 235 nt
Filed under: Elaeis guineensis (African oil palm)
Lineage: Eukaryota; Viridiplantae; Streptophyta; Magnoliopsida; Arecales; Arecaceae
Description: long non-coding RNA (EGUI_LNC043650)
Source: RNAcentral